AGUUCAGAUUUCCGCUCGCAAAAGCUGGUGGGAUUGGGACCCGGCACUAGAGCGUAGCGGCGAGCCCCCAACGCUGAGAGGUGUUUCUGCGGCUGCGCAGGGGCGCCGGCGCAUGGGCGCGCGAUUCUUCCAGCGCCGGAGCCGCUUCGUGGAGAACGCUCGGCGUGGUAGCAUGAAUCUCAUCAGCACAGAGAGAAAGCUUCACUGAAAACCCAUUGCAGCAACAUAGUUGAGUGUGACACGGCACAGAGGAGACUCGAUGAGCCUGAAGGACAUGGAGCCCGUGGUGCAGCCACAAGUGUUGUGAGCCGGGCUCGGCUUCAUCUGCGAGUCAUCCCCGGGGGCUUGGGCUGAGUCACAGCCACACCCGCCCAGGCAAAGCUGAAGUCACCAGCCGAGGAGGACGCUUGGGUAACUGGUUACCUGCAGCACUGGCCUUCCUCACAGAAAAAGGCGAAGCAUAAGGGAUGCCAUGGCUCAUCUUUAAGUGGCGAUUUUUCACAGCGGGUAAGUCUUUUUCCCCCAGGCCACCCCACCGAGUCAUCUGCACCAUCACCUGGCCAGUAACAGUGAACACUUAUUGAGGUCUAAGUCCGUGCCAGGCACCGUGCUGCAUUCUUCCCAUGCCUUACCUCGCUUACCCCUCAAACUGUAUGAGCUUCGUGCUACUGAUAUCCCCACAUUCCAGAUGAGGGGACUGAGCACAAAGAAGUAAGCUGCCCUAAAUCUUUCAGCUUGUAU
Mirounga angustirostris (Northern elephant seal) is the source of this 741-nucleotide long non-coding RNA. RefSeq lists it as uncharacterized. Lineage: Eukaryota; Metazoa; Chordata; Mammalia; Carnivora; Phocidae. The record is from RefSeq and is a predicted model, not a curated record. The transcript is spliced from 4 exons.